Non-coding RNA from Caenorhabditis elegans, 96 nucleotides. Lineage: Eukaryota; Metazoa; Nematoda; Chromadorea; Rhabditida; Rhabditidae. The record is from Ensembl.
CCACGAGCUUGUGUCGAUUUACGCAGCUCGUGUACUUCCCGAGGAAAAGUGUGAAUUUUAUGUUUUAGGCCAGUUUUUGGCGCUAAAAUACUUGAU